GCACUAGUGAAAAAUGUUAACAUAGAAAUUUUAAAAGUUUCAGAAUGAUUAUAUUUAUGUAUGAAUUUGUAAUAGUAAAAUUAUUUCAUUAUCAUCAACUUACCGACUACAUUCAUCUGGAUGGCCAUGCUGAUUUUUGGCUCAGUACUAACUGCAAUACAAGAGAAUACGUUUAAUGAUGGAAUGGACGAAGAUGGAAAUACCGAAGGGAGACAAUGACGAAAAUAUGCAAAGUGCAAGUGGAAACGAGCAAUUAAGAUGGGCAUCGCUGAGUAUUAUCUUUUACUAUUCCAGUGAAAGGCUGCGUUAUUUCUGGAUAAUAACAUUUCCCAGUCCCUCUGAGCAUUUACAAUGGGGAAUUAAAAGGGUGAAAGGACAGAGACAAUGGACAGGAUUCAGACUGAGAAACAAAAGCCAAGAGAAGAAAACCCACUUGCCUUGACACUCAUAAAUUCCUUCAGGUUGCGAAAUUGUCAUGAAAAAAAAACAGUUAAAUAUAAAUCCCAAAAAUACAAUAAUAUCAUAAAUGUAUAAAUA
Molecule: long non-coding RNA, 537 nt
Organism: Folsomia candida
Lineage: Eukaryota; Metazoa; Arthropoda; Collembola; Entomobryomorpha; Isotomidae
Exons: 3
Source: RefSeq, a predicted model, not a curated record